AACCCCCAGCUGAAAUAAUUGACUAUGUGGUCACUGCCAUUUCUCCUAGAUGAGAAGACCAGAGUUGGAGGGAGUAGCAGACUGCACUCUCCAUUGUCUACUCCAUCUAUCAGGUAGCUAAGAACUGGAGCCUGUGUUGAGAAAGGUGUCCUUGUCUGAUUUCCCAUCAACAUAGCAUUUGGUCCUAAUUUUUGAGGUAGGGACAGAGACAUGGAAGACACGGGUCUUAAAAAGAAGGGGCUACGUGGGACACUAAAAUCACACCUAUGACUGCAUACAAGGCUUCUGAGGAGCAAGUUCACACCCUCAUGAUUUUACUUGUAAAUGGAAAACCCACUACAGUAGCUAACCGUGAGAAAAGGAAGAUCUUGUGGUUAAGGCACUGGACUGAGGCUCAGAGGGUUCAAUUAAUUAAAAAGAAGUAUUCAAACUCUUAAGAUGAUGCUAUGCCACUCAACAGGCCAGGGUACAAAAAUGCUAAAUUUAUUGAUAGACUGCAGAGUCCAAUUUGCAUUUCAAAUCAGACUGCACAGCUCCCCAAACAAGUAAGUGCCCCCACAAUGUAUGGAACCUGAGUUUUUCCUCCAACAAUCCAUGACAAACAUUGUGUAAUGUGUGUGUGUGUCGGGGGGCUUAGGUUUGGUUUUAAGCUUCACCAUCUUGAAAAGGUUCCAUCUUUUAAUAAGGUACUACAGCCUACUGAUAAUUUUGCAUGCUAUACAGCAGAAAAAGAAUGAUAGAAAAUUUAUUUAAACAUCUCACUGGCUUAUCUUAAAUUCAUAUCUUAGUACUUUGUGGCAUUGUGAGAGAUAAUUUACCUUAAAUCGAAGAUUUGGUGGGCUGUCAGUAAUAUUCUCUAUUUCAUACGUUCUGCUUUUUUAUUUAUAUACUUGGAAAAAAAACCUUAAACUACAAAGGUGUAUUCCUCUUUCAAACAAGUCCUCUUGCAGCCUGUCAGAAUACAUUAUAGAAUAAGUAUAUUAUGUAUUUCUAAUACUAAUUAUACCCAAAUAGUAUAGAUAUGGGGGAGAGAGAGAGAGAGAGAAAAUGAAGGAGAAUAUUAGUAAUGUACCGUAUGUGAACAAGAGUGAGACAACUACUGCAGCAUAAAGAACCCACAGGCAUCUGGGCUUUCCCACUUUGGUAGCAAAUGGGGGGAAUUAUGGGUUGGUGGUCUGCUUCAUGUUAGGAGGACACCCCUCCAUCUGUUCUCAGUGCAGCCUGUUUCCAAUUUAAAACGCAGAUUUCAAUACAAACCUCAGUUUCUUUUCCCAAUUUUAUAUGCAAAGCGAGGCUUAUGAAUUACAGUGUCACUGCCACUGGGACCGAGACCAAAUUUCCCCCCAAAAUUCACUGGCUAUUCAUUUGAAUACCUGUUUACAGUGAUCAACAAUGGGCAGCUUUGAAAAGAAAAAUUGAUAAUCUUCACGGAAGAGC
RNAcentral lists this long non-coding RNA (1437 nucleotides) under Chrysemys picta bellii (western painted turtle). RNAcentral's name for it is "lncRNA (ENSCPBG00000003146.1)". The record is from RNAcentral. Lineage: Eukaryota; Metazoa; Chordata; Testudines; Emydidae.